Molecule: long non-coding RNA, 324 nt
Organism: Cydia amplana
Lineage: Eukaryota; Metazoa; Arthropoda; Insecta; Lepidoptera; Tortricidae
Exons: 3
Source: RefSeq, a predicted model, not a curated record
CGCAACAGAGCAGCGGUUCCGGUUCAGACACCGAGUGCAGCGAGGACGAGCGUGCGUCGGUCGCCAUACUCAAGUUGUUGUUCGCGAGUGUACCGCCCGACGCCAUGCGAGCGGUGAAGCAGGGGCUCGUCGAAACGCUCAAUAAGAUUGUGCCGGGAGUACAGGCGAAAAUAUUGAAUCACGCCAAGGAGCAGCUAGCAAAGUGCGGAGACUUCAGCAAAAUAGACUGGACGACGCUCGACGUACCUGUGGAAGUCAGCAAAGCCGUUUGGGAGCACCGAGUCAUGAAAAUUGUGCUUACGGACUAAUUAUGAAAGAUAUCUA